AACGAACGCUGGCGGCAUGCCUAACACAUGCAAGUCGAACGAGACCUCCGGGUCUAGUGGCGCACGGGUGCGUAACGCGUGGGAACCUGCCCUUAGGUUCGGAAUAACUCCCCGAAAGGGGUGCUAAUACCGGAUAAUGUCUUCGGACCAAAGAUUUAUCGCCUUUGGAUGGGCCCGCGUUGGAUUAGCUAGUUGGUAGGGUAAAAGCCUACCAAGGCGACGAUCCAUAGCUGGUCUGAGAGGAUGAUCAGCCACACUGGGACUGGGACACGGCCCAGACUCCUACGAGAGGCAGCAGUGGGGAAUAUUGGACAAUGGGCGAAAGCCUGAUCCAGCAAUGCCGCGUGAGUGAUGAAGGCCUUAGGGUUGUAAAGCUCUUUUACCCGGGAUGAUAAUGACAGUACCGGGAGAAUAAGCUCCGGCUAACUCCGU
This 432-nucleotide ribosomal RNA is filed under the name uncultured bacterium. Its description in RNAcentral is "partial 16S ribosomal RNA". It matches the Rfam family "Bacterial small subunit ribosomal RNA", at positions 29 to 506 of the family's 1533-position model. The record is from RNAcentral.